RNAcentral lists this ribosomal RNA (370 nucleotides) under uncultured organism. Its description in RNAcentral is "bacterial SSU rRNA". It matches the Rfam family "Bacterial small subunit ribosomal RNA", at positions 528 to 896 of the family's 1533-position model. The record is from RNAcentral.
GAGGGGGCAAGCGUUGCUCGGAAUCACUGGGCGUAAAGGGCGCGUAGGCGGGAUGACAAGUCGGUCGUGAAAUCCCUGGGCUCAACUCAGGGGGGUCGGCCGAUACUGCCAUUCUUGAGGGAUGCAGAGGAGACUGGAAUUCCCGGUGUAGCGGUGAAAUGUGUAGAGAUCGGGAGGAACACCGGUGGCGAAGGCGGGUCUCUGGGCAUUCCCUGACGCUGAGGCGCGAAAGCGUGGGGAGCAAACGGGAUUAGAUACCCCGGUAGUCCACGCGGUAAACGAUGACGACUAGGUGUGGGGGGUUAAGGUCCCUUCCGUGCCGCAGCUAACGCAUUAAGUCGUCCGCCUGGGGAGUACGGCCGCAAGGUUG